This 253-nucleotide ribosomal RNA is filed under the name uncultured bacterium. RNAcentral describes it as "partial 16S ribosomal RNA". It matches the Rfam family "Bacterial small subunit ribosomal RNA", at positions 524 to 776 of the family's 1533-position model. The record is from RNAcentral.
UACGGAGGGUGCGAGCGUUGCUCGGAAUUACUGGGCGUAAAGCGUACGCAGGCUGCCUUGUAAGUCGGGUGUGAAAGCCCGGGGCUCAACCCCGGAAAUGCGCCCGAGACUGCAAGGCUUGAAUGCGGGAGAGGAAAGCGGAAUUCCUGGUGUAGAGGUGAAAUUCGUAGAUAUCAGGAGGAACACCAGUGGCGAAAGCGGCUUUCUGGCCCGGCAUUGACGCUCAUGUACGAAAGCGUGGGGAGCAAACAGG